UGGGAAUCUUGGACAAUGGGGCGAACCCUCGAUCCAGCCAUGCCGCGUGAGUGAUGAAGGCCUUAGGGUCGUAAAGCUCUUUCGCCUGUGAAGAUAAUGACGGUAGCAGGUAAAGAAACCCGCGUACUCCGUGCCAGCAGCCGCGGUAAUACGGAGGGGGUUAGCGUUGUUCGGAAUUAUUGGGCGUAAAGAGCUCGUAGGCGGUUCGGUAAGUCGGGUGUGAAAACUCUGGGCUCAACCCAGAGAGGCCACUCGAUACUGCUGUGACUAGAGUGCGGUAGGGGAGCGGGGAAUUCCUGGUGUAGCGGUGAAAUGCGCAGAUAUCAGGAGGAACACCAGUGGCGAAGGCGCCGCUCUGGGCCGUAACUGACGCUGAGGAGCGAAAGCAUGGGUAGCAAACAGGAUUAGAUACCCUGGUAGUCCACACCGUAAACGAUGAAUGCCAGUCGUCGGGUAGCAUGCUAUUCGGUGACACACCUAACGGAUUAAGCAUUCCGCCUGGGGAGUACGGUCGC
This 515-nucleotide ribosomal RNA is filed under the name uncultured bacterium. RNAcentral describes it as "bacterial SSU rRNA". It matches the Rfam family "Bacterial small subunit ribosomal RNA", at positions 356 to 889 of the family's 1533-position model. The record is from RNAcentral.